This 82-nucleotide transfer RNA is filed under the name Acavomonas peruviana. RNAcentral describes it as "tRNA-Leu". It matches the Rfam family "tRNA". From Rfam's summary of the family: Transfer RNA (tRNA) molecules are approximately 80 nucleotides in length. Their secondary structure includes four short double-helical elements and three loops (D, anti-codon, and T loops). Further hydrogen bonds mediate the characteristic L-shaped molecular structure. tRNAs have two regions of fundamental functional importance: the anti-codon, which is responsible for specific mRNA codon recognition, and the 3' end, to which the tRNAs corresponding amino acid is attached (by aminoacyl-tRNA synthetases). tRNAs cope with the degeneracy of the genetic code in two manners: having more than one tRNA (with a specific anti-codon) for a particular amino acid; and 'wobble' base-pairing, i.e. permitting non-standard base-pairing at the 3rd anti-codon position. Lineage: Eukaryota; Colponemida; Acavomonidia. The record is from RNAcentral.
GCUUUUAUGGUGGAAUGGUAGACACGAAGGUUUCAAAAACCUUUGCUUAUAAAGCAUACAAGUUCAAGUCUUGUUAAAAGUA